Molecule: ribosomal RNA, 1000 nt
Filed under: Bacillus vallismortis
Lineage: Bacteria; Bacillati; Bacillota; Bacilli; Caryophanales; Bacillaceae
Description: bacterial SSU rRNA
Rfam family: Bacterial small subunit ribosomal RNA
Source: RNAcentral
UACUAACCAGAAAGGCCACGGCUAACUACGUGCCAGCAGCCGCGGUAAUACGUAGGUGGCAAGCGUUAUCCGGAAAUUAUUGGGCGUAAAGCGCGCGCAGGCUGUUUCUUAAGUCUGAUGUGAAAGCCCCCGGCUCAACCGGGGAGGGUCAUUGGAAACUGGGGAACUUGAGUGCAGAAGAGGAGAGUGGAAUUCCACGUGUAGCGGUGAAAUGCGUAGAGAUGUGGAGGAACACCAGUGGCGAAGGCGACUCUCUGGUCUGUAACUGACGCUGAGGAGCGAAAGCGUGGGGAGCGAACAGGAUUAGAUACCCUGGUAGUCCACGCCGUAAACGAUGAGUGCUAAGUGUUAGGGGGUUUCCGCCCCUUAGUGCUGCAGCUAACGCAUUAAGCACUCCGCCUGGGGAGUACGGUCCGCAAGACUGAAACUCAAAGGAAUUGACGGGGGCCCGCACAAGCGGUGGAGCAUGUGGUUUAAUUCGAAGCAACGCGAAGAACCUUACCAGGUCUUGACAUCCUCUGACAAUCCUAGAGAUAGGACGUCCCCUUCGGGGGCAGAGUGACAGGUGGUGCAUGGUUGUCGUCAGCUCGUGUCGUGAGAUGUUGGGUUAAGUCCCGCAACGAGCGCAACCCUUGAUCUUAGUUGCCAGCAUUCAGUUGGGCACUCUAAGGUGACUGCCGGUGACAAACCGGAGGAAGGUGGGGAUGACGUCAAAUCAUCAUGCCCCUUAUGACCUGGGCUACACACGUGCUACAAUGGACAGAACAAAGGGCAGCGAAACCGCGAGGUUAAGCCAAUCCCACAAAUCUGUUCUCAGUUCGGAUCGCAGUCUGCAACUCGCCUGCAUGAAGCUGGAAUCGCUAGUAAUCGCGGAUCAGCAUGCCGCGGGGAACAAGUUCCCGGUCGAGUUUCACCCCGGCUCAGCAAGUCGUAACAAGGUAGCCGUAGAGUUUGCUCCUGGCUCACCAAGUCGUAACAAGGUAGCCGUAGAGUUACCUCC